AGGAGAGCCAUGAGACUCAACUGGGCCUA
RNAcentral lists this non-coding RNA (29 nucleotides) under Homo sapiens (human). The record is from RNAcentral. Lineage: Eukaryota; Metazoa; Chordata; Mammalia; Primates; Hominidae.